GGCUGAUUGGCGCAGUGGUAGCGCAACAGAUUCCAAUAGAAGGUGCUAUCUGGAGGUCGGGAGUUCGAAUCUCUCAUCGGUCA
This 83-nucleotide transfer RNA is filed under the name Wallemia ichthyophaga. RNAcentral describes it as "tRNA-Trp". It matches the Rfam family "tRNA". Rfam says of the family: Transfer RNA (tRNA) molecules are approximately 80 nucleotides in length. Their secondary structure includes four short double-helical elements and three loops (D, anti-codon, and T loops). RNAcentral also lists the same sequence under 1 other name. The record is from RNAcentral. Lineage: Eukaryota; Fungi; Basidiomycota; Wallemiomycetes; Wallemiales; Wallemiaceae.